RNAcentral lists this ribosomal RNA (465 nucleotides) under Vreelandella stevensii. Its description in RNAcentral is "partial 16S ribosomal RNA". It matches the Rfam family "Bacterial small subunit ribosomal RNA", at positions 338 to 795 of the family's 1533-position model. The record is from RNAcentral. Lineage: Bacteria; Pseudomonadati; Pseudomonadota; Gammaproteobacteria; Oceanospirillales; Halomonadaceae.
CCUACGGGGGGCAGCAGUGGGGAAUAUUGGACAAUGGGGGCAACCCUGAUCCAGCCAUGCCGCGUGUGUGAAGAAGGCCCUCGGGUUGUAAAGCACUUUCAGUGAGGAAGAACGCCUGGUGGUUAAUACCCAUCAGGAAAGACAUCACUCACAGAAGAAGCACCGGCUAACUCCGUGCCAGCAGCCGCGGUAAUACGGAGGGUGCGAGCGUUAAUCGGAAUUACUGGGCGUAAAGCGCGCGUAGGUGGCUUGAUAAGCCGGUUGUGAAAGCCCCGGGCUCAACCUGGGAACGGCAUCCGGAACUGUCAAGCUAGAGUGCAGGAGAGGAAGGUAGAAUUCCCGGUGUAGCGGUGAAAUGCGUAGAGAUCGGGAGGAAUACCAGUGGCGAAGGCGGCCUUCUGGACUGACACUGACACUGAGGUGCGAGAGCGUGGGUAGCAAACAGGAUUAGAUACCCUGGUAGUC